Molecule: small RNA, 28 nt
Filed under: Bombyx mori (domestic silkworm)
Lineage: Eukaryota; Metazoa; Arthropoda; Insecta; Lepidoptera; Bombycidae
Description: ovarian small RNA-34424
Source: RNAcentral
UGGAACCACAAUGUGGUACGGACUAGGA